RNAcentral lists this long non-coding RNA (1061 nucleotides) under Phascolarctos cinereus (koala). Its description in RNAcentral is "lncRNA (ENSPCIG00000007689.2)". The record is from RNAcentral. Lineage: Eukaryota; Metazoa; Chordata; Mammalia; Diprotodontia; Phascolarctidae.
UUCAAGUCCAAAAGUUUUGAUUUUCUUUCUUUCUUUCUUUUUUCCUAGAGGAGCAAUUAAAACACGUAGGGAGCAAAUGUGGCUGUAAUUACUGAGGCAUACGCUCACAAUUUCCUAGUAAGGUGAACUCAGGGUUCCUUCCAUCACUGCAUUCACAAGUGACUUUUUCUCUUCUUCUGGAGCCUGAUAGAACCCAGCUGAGGGCAUUAAGUAUACACUUUUAUCUCCACUGGGAUGACAUAUUAAUAAAAGGUUCCAGAAAGAACACACACAGAAAAUGGGGCUGAUCAGAUGGCCCCUCACUGCCUCUUUUCUCUGCCAUGUCACCAGCAGCCCAGGAAUAGUAGAGUGGAAAUUUGGAGUUGCUAGAAUUGGAUCAGAAUGUAAGCUCUUUGAGAACAGGGAACCUGAGAUCUUGCCUUCUGAGUUGGGGAGAGGAGGAGCCAGCCAGGACCCUGAAGAAGUACCCAGGUGAAGAGUAACCCAAGAGCCUCCUGGAAGUGUGUGCAGGGAGUCAGCGGCCUUCUGCAAAGAGUCUCUGCAGAAGGCCAGAUGCUCCAGAUAACAAUGGGUGUACCCUGGGGCAUGGAAGUGAUUCUUAUUGGGGCUAAGAUCAUGGGUCUGGGAACAUACCUAGAUUCAUGGUUGUCUGGAGCCAAACUGGACCAUGACCCUUCAGGGUUGUUGAUAGUGAAGAGAACCAGCACCAUGGGAAAAAAAGUAUCUCUUCAGAUCCUGACCUUCCGGGACUGAAAGAUGCCAUCACAUACAAUGUUCUGCUCUGCAAUCCAGCCAGCCUCUGAUACUGUUUUCAGGACCUAUGAGUCGACAUCUUCUAAUGCUCCUUCCAAGAGAUAAUGUCUCAAUAGAAGAACAGGAAACCACAGCUUCCAGGUCUGCCUCAGACAGUCUGUAACAUGGGAUCUGUCACUCAGCUCUGCCUCACAGUCACAUGCCCAAUUCAAGACAGCUCAGGCCUGGGGGCAGGGGCAGAAGAUGGGGGUCCCUACUUCUUGCUCAUCUCAUGGACAGCAGCACAGCCCUAGAUGCCAGACUAUAAG